CCUACGGGAGGCAGCAGUGAGGAAUAUUGGUCAAUGGGCGGGAGCCUGAACCAGCCAAGCCGCGUGAGGGAAGAAGGUACAGCGUAUCGUAAACCUCUUUUGUCAGGGAACAAAGGCGGGGACUAGUCCCCGGAUGAGGGUACCUGAAGAAAACGCAUCGGCUAACUCCGUGCCAGCAGCCGCGGUAAUACGGGGGCUGCGAGCGUUAUCCGGAUUCAUUGGGUGUAAAGGGUGCGCAGGCGGCCUGUUAAGUCAGCGGGAAAAGCCCGGGGCUCAACCCCGGCGAGCCGUUGAAACUGGGGGGCUGGAGUUGGAGAGAAGGACGCGGAAUGCGCGGUGUAGCAGUGAAAUGCUUAGAUAUCGCGCAGAACCCCGAUGGCGAAGGCAGCGUACCGGCUCCACACUGACGCUGAGGCACGAAAGCGUGGGUAUCGAACAGGAUUAGAUACCCGGGUAGUC
RNAcentral lists this ribosomal RNA (459 nucleotides) under uncultured bacterium. RNAcentral's name for it is "partial 16S ribosomal RNA". It matches the Rfam family "Bacterial small subunit ribosomal RNA", at positions 338 to 795 of the family's 1533-position model. The record is from RNAcentral.